UUAUACCUAUAUCCCAUCAGAGACAUUCUCGACAACAGAAUGCUCUGGAGUUGGUCACAUUCAAUGAUGAUGUACCCUUACAUCUCACCUGUAUGCCAUACCAGUGUCUCCACACUCUUUGGUUAAGAGGACAACCAACCCAUAUGGCCUACAGCGACCUAUGCUCGAUAGAAGCUGUCGUCCUUAUUAACAGCCUAUCAUUUGGUCGUGAACAGUUUUAAGGACUAAUCGAUAAAUCCUCUCUUUAUCGAAUCUAAAUAGUCCUAAGGACUUUAUCAUAACAACGGAGUUCAUUAGAAGAUGAAAGCUUAUGAUGAAAAUGCCAAAUAUAUUUUAUUUAUUAACAAAUCAAUUACAAUACUUGGUUGCUCAACCGUCAACAGCUUGAUGAUUGGCUUUUUGGGACACAUUUCCCAAC
RNAcentral lists this long non-coding RNA (418 nucleotides) under Elaeis guineensis (African oil palm). RNAcentral's name for it is "long non-coding RNA (EGUI_LNC074586)". Lineage: Eukaryota; Viridiplantae; Streptophyta; Magnoliopsida; Arecales; Arecaceae. The record is from RNAcentral.